AGAGUUUGAUCCUGGCUCAGGAUGAACGCUGGCGGCGUGCCUAACACAUGCAAGUCGAGCGAUUCUCUCCGGAGAAGAGCGGCGGACGGGUGAGUAACGCGUGGGUAACCUGCCCUGUACACACGGAUAACAUACCGAAAGGUAUGCUAAUACGAGAUAAUAUGCUUUUAUCGCAUGGUAGAAGUAUCAAAGCUUUUGCGGUACAGGAUGGACCCGCGUCUGAUUAGCUAGUUGGUAAGGUAACGGCUUACCAAGGUGACGAUCAGUAGCCGACCUGAGAGGGUGAUCGGCCACAUUGGAACUGAGACACGGUCCAAACUCCUACGGGAGGCAGCAGUGGGGAAUAUUGCACAAUGGGCGAAAGCCUGAUGCAGCAACGCCGCGUGAGCGAUGAAGGCCUUCGGGUCGUAAAGCUCUGUCCUCAAGGAAGAUAAUGACGGUACUUGAGGAGGAAGCCCCGGCUAACUACGUGCCAGCAGCCGCGGUAAUACGUAGGGGGCUAGCGUUAUCCGGAAUUACUGGGCGUAAAGGGUGCGUAGGUGGUUUCUUAAGUCAGAGGUGAAAGGCUACGGCUCAACCGUAGUAAGCCUUUGAAACUGGGAAACUUGAGUGCAGGAGAGGAGAGUGGAAUUCCUAGUGUAGCGGUGAAAUGCGUAGAUAUUAGGAGGAACACCAGUUGCGAAGGCGGCUCUCUGGACUGUAACUGACACUGAGGCACGAAAGCGUGGGGAGCAAACAGGAUUAGAUACCCUGGUAGUCCACGCCGUAAACGAUGAGUACUAGCUGUCGGAGGUUACCCCCUUCGGUGGCGCAGCUAACGCAUUAAGUACUCCGCCUGGGGAGUACGCUCGCAAGAGUGAAACUCAAAGGAAUUGACGG
Molecule: ribosomal RNA, 879 nt
Filed under: uncultured bacterium
Lineage: Bacteria
Description: bacterial SSU rRNA
Rfam family: Bacterial small subunit ribosomal RNA
Source: RNAcentral